Long non-coding RNA from Felis catus (domestic cat), 2702 nucleotides. RefSeq lists it as uncharacterized. The transcript is spliced from 2 exons. Lineage: Eukaryota; Metazoa; Chordata; Mammalia; Carnivora; Felidae. The record is from RefSeq and is a predicted model, not a curated record.
CAUGAUAUGAGUGUGUUGGGAGACUAUCCUUCAAGGGCAGAGGGGGAUGGAAUGGGGAUUUAGUCCUGAUCCUCCCAGCUUCAGAUAGAGUCCACUGACAGAUGGCUAAGAGUUAACUGGGGAUAAACGGGAGCGCCAGUUGCCAGGGAGUCAGGAUAGCUGAGUUCUUGUUCCAGUUCCGCUGCUGAUUGCUCUGUGACCUCAGGCCUCUUUCUCUCGCCUGUGAGGCUGGUUGCAGCUUUAGUUUCCUUGUCCGUAAAAUGAGGACUAGACUCGGUAUUUUGAAAGUAUGGACACAGAGAUCUCCCAUCCUCCAAGGGUAAGCUCGGGCUACAGUGUAUGGACGCGAGUGGAGAUAGGAGGAUGGCCCAGCAGGUGGAACCGCAGCCAGCACCCCUCCUUGCCCACUGCUGUCCUGCCUCAGGUGACUAGUCUCUACUAGACACUUACCUAGGAUUUCAUCCCGAACAGAGAAAUCGAAGACCAACACAAGUGUGAAAACCACUGUGAUUUGUGGUCCUGUAGGGGCUUGUCUCAGCUUGGUUCCGGUAGAGAUUAUAAUCGAAUAUUGUAAGAGUGUAUACUUCUUUUCUGUGUUUAAAGACUGUCACCUCUCUCUCUCUCUCUCUCUCUCUCUCUCUCUCUCCCUCCUUCUCGGUCUCUCUUUGUUUUUGGCUCAGAGCUGGAAGAUGGGAGGAAGAACACUAACAAUUCCCAAGUGCCUGUCUCUGGGUUAGGCUUUUCAUGUUCCUUAAACCUCACGGUGACCUUUUAAAAUGGAUAUUAUUGUUGCAUUUUGGAGAUUAGGAAACUGAGGCUCAGAGAGAUUAAGUAAUUUGCCCAAAGUGAUAAAACUCAGGCAAGGGAGAAAUUUUGGUCAAUAAACCUUUGAACCUAAGAAUUUCUUUGCUUUCCACAGAGGCGGAAUCAAGAUUAUAAUCAUGCAGGCCAGCUUUGUACAUAUUUAAGCGGGCUUUUAAAAUAACCUAUUGAAUCAAUAUAAAAUUAUGGGGGUCACUGUUUGUGAUAUUAAUACGUUACAGCACCUAACAGUUUACAAAGCUCUUUUACAUUCAAUAAGAAAGUAUCACUCUCUUAUCUCACCUUUGAAAGGAACCUCGGCAGUAUGGCCUUUGAUGGAACAAUCCAGUGUGUGCUGUUGGGUGUACAUGUGUUUGUUUACAUAUCGUUAGCUACUCGAAAGAGAAGUGGAGGAGUAGAAAGCAAAGAUGAAACCUGCUCAUGGGUCUCAAAAUUAUUCAGGCGCUGGAGCUUCUGUCUUUCGGAACACAGGUCAAUGAACUCAAGACUUAACUAAGAAUUUAGGGGAGGAAAGACUGCCGGUUCUUUAUUUCAGCAGGAGACCCGUAGUCUGACUUGCAUGCCAGGGGAGCGCAGGAGAACAGGGCAGUGGGGCUUGUUUUCCACACCCUUUAGGAACACACCUACUGUAAUGUGAGGUGCACCUGUAUCUGAGCCUGGGCCGCUGUGCUCCUCUGGAGGGAAAUAGCAGAAAAAGCCCCCUCGUUCCCCCCCCCCCCCCCCGGGGUUCUCAGGCAGGACCGCUCUGUGGAUUCCAGGAGGCCCUGCCCACAGCAGUGGUGGAGAGCGUCCACUCACAUCUCACAGGGCUGAUUCUCUACAGCAGGUACUCACCCGGCCCGGGGCAUUGGGGACGGCGCAGCAGGAGAAGGUGACUUGGCGUCCCAGGCCCCGCUGUUACGACCUGCACAAACAUACACACAGGCCUUUUUGCCCGUUGCACAGACAGAUUGAGACAAGUAACAAGCUACUGCCUAAUCGCAUCUUCCAGAGUCACAGAAGGGACCCGGCGGGCCUCGACUGCUGCACCGCACUGCCCUCCCGCUACCUAAGGCAGGGGGCAGACGGUCAUGAGGGAGGAACGGAGACAGGCAGAGCUUCACCACCAGGACAGAGCAGGCCAGGAGGGAGAGAGCCAGACACCAAGCCAGCUCCCCUCCGCGUCUCCCGGCUGCCUUCUCUCAGGCUGAUGCUCACCUGCCUGGGCGUCACGGCCCAGUGAGACAAAAGCGCUUUAUUGACUUAAAGUGAACCGAAUACGCAUUUUGUUAAGAAAUGACUACAUUUCUAAGCCCACAGUUCCUACUGGACCUACAGGGGAUGCUCUGGAAAUAUAGGUAGGACCUGCCCUCAGUAUGUAUUAUUUUAGUUUGCGAGAUAAAGCACGUUAUCGGUGAGUGCUGAGGCAGUAAUCGCCUACUGAGAAUUACUGAGAACCUGGUACGUGAAGAGCACUGUGUCAGGGGUUGUGGAAGAGGUGAAGAUGCAGAGAUAGGCCUCUGCCCCCUCGGAAUUUGCAACAUGAGGACAUACGCCCGCCAUGCCGCUUCACCUCACAGGACCACCUACGCCAAACACAAAAAAGAAAAAGGCCUCCACAGGCAUGAAAAAUAGAGAUCAUAAAGCUCAUUCUCAUGUACUUUAGAGAGAGAGAGAGAGAGGCCUUCAGGCUUUCGUUUAGAGCCCAUCCACUCCUUUUCUACACACAGUCCUUACACAGAACUAGUUUCCACGAAUGCCCGGAACGGCCCUCCACACGACUCUCACUUACAUGUUAACCCAAUCUUGAUGUGACUUUUAAGAACUUUUGCAAAAGAGACUAUGUUCAGAAUUUUUACCAUUUCAUAUGACAAUAAACUGAGAUGCCAUCUGAAUAUGAA